This 214-nucleotide long non-coding RNA is filed under the name Elaeis guineensis (African oil palm). Its description in RNAcentral is "long non-coding RNA (EGUI_LNC003708)". Lineage: Eukaryota; Viridiplantae; Streptophyta; Magnoliopsida; Arecales; Arecaceae. The record is from RNAcentral.
GCACAUCAUUACAUGGUCCAUAUUAUCUUUUCUCUAGUCUCUUUAUUAGACUUUAAGGAUGUUACAUGGAUAAUUUUUUGUUACAUGGAUAAUUCUAUGCCUUUGCUUCUUGUUAUGAUGAACAUUCAUAUGUGCAGGAUAAUGUUAACUUCGAGGAUUGCACCGACGAACAAGUAACGGUAUGUAUUCUCAAAAUGACUGCAAACAGGUACAG